This 550-nucleotide ribosomal RNA is filed under the name uncultured archaeon. RNAcentral's name for it is "bacterial SSU rRNA". It matches the Rfam family "Bacterial small subunit ribosomal RNA", at positions 509 to 1050 of the family's 1533-position model. The record is from RNAcentral.
CAGCAGCCGCGGUAAUACAUAGGUCCCAAGCGUUAUCCGGAUUUACUGGGCGUAAAGAGUCUGUAGCCGGAUGUGUAAGUCUAUUUUCAAAUACUAUGGCUUAACCAUAGAGAGGGAAUAGAUACUGUAUAUCUGGAAGUUAUUGGGGGUUAGUGGAAUUUCCGGUGGAGCGGUGAAAUGCGUUGAUAUCGGAAAGAACGCCAAAAGUGAAAACAGCUAACUACAAUAAACUUGACGGUCAGAGACGAAAGCUCGGGGAGCAAACGGGAUUAGAUACCCCGGUAGUCCGAGCUGUAAAUUAUGCUUGCUAGAUGUUUUGGACCCUUGUGGUCUGGAGUGUCGUAAUCUAACGAGUUAAGCAAGUCGCCUGUGUAGUAUAUUCGCAAGAAUGAAACACAAAGGGAUAGGCGGGGGAACACACAAGCAGUGGAUUAUCUAGAUUAAUUGGAUACUAAGCCAAGAAUCUUACCUAAACUUGACAUGUACUAUGUCCUAUGUGAAAGCAUAGUAGCCUGAGCAAUCAGGCGUGGUACACAGGUGGUGCAUGGCC